RNAcentral lists this long non-coding RNA (199 nucleotides) under Carica papaya (papaya). RNAcentral's name for it is "long non-coding RNA (CPAP_LNC001786)". Lineage: Eukaryota; Viridiplantae; Streptophyta; Magnoliopsida; Brassicales; Caricaceae. The record is from RNAcentral.
GUAACGCUUAUUAUCGGAUGGAGUAUAGAGACAGCUGAUGAAUGGUAAAAGAAAUAUUUUGUAUAUCCGCGUGUAGUGAGGAUCUCUAUGGGCCUCCAGUAAUACCGAUAAUGGAAAUGAAAAUUAUCUGAAUAUGUAUUUGGUGUAGUUGAUGGUAUUUAUGAAUGAAACAAAAUUAUCUGAAUAUGAGUACAAUAUG